Molecule: ribosomal RNA, 227 nt
Filed under: Escherichia coli O118:H16 str. 08-3651
Lineage: Bacteria; Pseudomonadati; Pseudomonadota; Gammaproteobacteria; Enterobacterales; Enterobacteriaceae
Description: partial 16S ribosomal RNA
Rfam family: Bacterial small subunit ribosomal RNA
Source: RNAcentral
UUAAAUUGAAGAGUUUGAUCAUGGCUCAGAUUGAACGCUGGCGGCAGGCCUAACACAUGCAAGUCGAACGGUAACAGGAAGAAGCUUGCUUCUUUGCUGACGAGUGGCGGACGGGUGAGUAAUGUCUGGGAAACUGCCUGAUGGAGGGGGAUAACUACUGGAAACGGUAGCUAAUACCGCAUAACGUCGGAAGACCAAGAGGGGGACCUUCGGGCCUCUUGCCAUCA